RNAcentral lists this small nuclear RNA (18 nucleotides) under Arabidopsis thaliana (thale cress). RNAcentral's name for it is "snRNA_00450". The record is from RNAcentral. Lineage: Eukaryota; Viridiplantae; Streptophyta; Magnoliopsida; Brassicales; Brassicaceae.
CGGCUGGAAGAGCACCGC